This 19-nucleotide non-coding RNA is filed under the name Arabidopsis thaliana (thale cress). Lineage: Eukaryota; Viridiplantae; Streptophyta; Magnoliopsida; Brassicales; Brassicaceae. The record is from RNAcentral.
GAUCCUAUUGUGUUGGCCU